AGAGUUUGAUCCUGGCUCAGGAUUAACGCUGGCGGCAUGCCUAAUACAUGCAAGUCGAACGAAAAAUAUAUAGAUGCUUGCAUUUAGAUAUUUUUAGUGGCGAACGGGUGAGUAAUAUAUAGAUAACCUACCUUUAAGUUGGGGAUAACAGAGGGAAACUUUUGCUAAUACCGAAUAAAAUAAUUAGACGCAUGUUUAAUUAUUAAAAGGGGCUUCAAAGCCCCGCUCUAAGAGGGGUCUAUAUCGCAUUAGCUAGUUGGUAAGAUAACAGCCUACCAAGGCUAUGAUGCGUAGCUGUACUGAGAGGUAGAACAGCCACAUUGGGACUGAGAUACGGCCCAAACUCCUACGGGAGGCAGCAGUAGGGAAUUUUCGGCAAUGGGGGGAACCCUGACCGAGCAAUGCCGCGUGAUUGAAGAAGAUCUUCGGAUCGUAAAGAUCUGUUAUUAGGGAAGAAUGGAAUUGAUAGGAAAUGAUCAAUUUAUGACGGUGCCUAAUGAGGAAGCCCCGGCUAACUAUGUGCCAGCAGCCGCGGUAAUACAUAGGGGGCGAGCGUUAUCCGGAAUUAUUGGGCGUAAAGGGUACGUAGGCGGGCCUGCAAGUCUGAUUUGAAAGCACACGGCUUAACCGUGUGAGGUAAUUAGAAACUACAGGUCUAGAGAGUGGUAGAGGUAAAUGGAAUUCCGAGCGGAGCGGUGAAAUGCGUAGAGAUUUGGAGGAACACCAGUGGCGAAGGCGGUUUACUGGGCCACAUCUGACGCUGAUGUACGAAAGCGUGGGGAGCAAACAGGAUUAGAUACCCUGGUAGUCCACGCCGUAAACGAUGAGUGCUAAGUAUCGAAGGAUUCGGUGCUUAAGCUUACGGCGUAAGCCCUCCGCGCCGGGGGAGUACGGUCGUCAAACUGAAAAUCAAAGGAAUUUGCGGGGAAUUCUCCCAACGGGGGGAACAUGGCGGUUUAA
RNAcentral lists this ribosomal RNA (960 nucleotides) under uncultured bacterium. RNAcentral's name for it is "bacterial SSU rRNA". It matches the Rfam family "Bacterial small subunit ribosomal RNA", at positions 8 to 949 of the family's 1533-position model. The record is from RNAcentral.